Molecule: long non-coding RNA, 17684 nt
Filed under: Citrus sinensis (sweet orange)
Lineage: Eukaryota; Viridiplantae; Streptophyta; Magnoliopsida; Sapindales; Rutaceae
Description: long non-coding RNA (CSIN_LNC001024)
Source: RNAcentral
UGAACCGUUAGAUUCCGUCCGACUGUAUUUGUCCAGAGCAACUUUAAUUGUUGUUCCGUCGUAUUUAGUUGAUCAUUGGAAAACCCAAAUCCAACAGCAUGUCAGACCUGGACAGUUGCAUCUUUUUGUCUGGACCGAUCAUAAAAAGCCUUCUGCUCAUAGUCUGGCUUGGGACUAUGAUGUUGUUAUAACUACAUUUAACCGUUUAAGUGCAGAGUGGGGUCGGCGAAAGAAAAGUCCAAUGAUGCAAGUUCAUUGGCUUAGGGUUAUGUUAGAUGAAGGGCAUACCCUUGGUUCAAGUCUUAACUUGACAAACAAAUUGCAAAUGGCUAUUUCAUUGACAGCUUCAAAUCGUUGGUUAUUAACAGGAACCCCGACUCCAAACACACCUAAUAGCCAGUUGUCACAUCUUCAACCAAUGCUUAAGUUCCUCCAUGAAGAAGCAUAUGGCCAGAAUCAAAAGGCAUGGGAUGGUGGCAUUCUUAGACCAUUUGAGGCAGAGAUGGAGGAGGGUCGAUCCCGUCUGUUGCAGCUACUCCAUAGGUGCAUGAUCAGUGCAAGAAAGACAGAUUUGCAAACCAUUCCUCUUUGCAUCAAGGAGGUGACAUUUUUAAAUUUCACUGAGGAGCAUGCAGGAACUUACAAUGAAUUGGUAGUUACAGUGCGGCGUAAUAUACUAAUGGCUGAUUGGAACGAUCCUUCACAUGUUGAAAGUUUACUGAAUCCAAAGCAGUGGAAGUUCCGAAGUACAACUAUUAGGAAUCUAAGGCUAUCCUGCUGUGUGGCUGGCCACAUUAAAGUAACAGAUGCUGGCGAAGAUAUUCAAGAAACGAUGGAUGUUUUGGUUGAAAAUGGCCUCGAUCCUCUAUCACAGGAGUAUGCUUUUAUUAAAUAUAACCUCCUUAAUGGUGGUAAUUGUCUCAGGUAAUACCUCGCUUUCGAGGUUUUUUAUGGGGUUUUCUCUGAAUUUCUGUGAAAUGUCUGAAAUUUUUAUUAAUACUAGUUUUAAAUCCUCUUAUUUUUGGCUUAGGUGCAAUGAAUGGUGCCGCCUACCAGUUAUUACACCCUGCAGGCAUAUCCUUUGCCUUGAUUGUGUUGCUAUGGACAGUGAAAAGUGCUCUUUGCCUGGCUGCGGUUUCUUAUACGAGAUGCAGAGUCCUGAAAUAUUAACCCGCCCUGAAAAUCCCAACCCAAAGUGGCCAGUCCCUCAAGAUCUUAUUGAGUUACAACCUUCGUAUAGGCAGGUACGCAAUCUUCAAAGUUGAAAUACUUCUAUCAACAUUCCUAUUAAAACUGGAUUAUUUUUAUUUGUCAACGUUCAUAUGUAAAGAAUGUUAACAGUGCAUUUGUUUACACUUAUUUAGGAUGAUUGGAAUCCUGAUUGGCAGUCAACAUCUAGCAGUAAAGUUGCUUAUCUUGUAGAGAAGUUGAAAGUAUUGCAGGAGGCUAAUUGGGAGAUAUGUUAUGCUUUUAGUGAAGACAGUAGUGUCAAACACAUUGAGGAGCUACCUUUCACCCCUCAGUGGAGCAAUACAAACACAUUUUUGAAGCAAGAUUUAUACAGACAAAAUUUGGAGUCUAACAAGGCACUCCCUGAUAAAGUUAUUAUUUUUUCUCAAUUUCUUGAGCAUAUACAUGUCAUCGAGCAGCAGGUAGCAGUAUUUUCUCAUUUUGUAGGCAUGCCUUUUUGUGGUUUAUUUCAUAGACAGUGGAUUACAAAUUGCUCGUCUUUUUGGCAGUUAACAGUUGCUGGUAUCAAAUUUGCUGGUAUGUACAGUCCAAUGCAUUCUAGCAACAAGGUGCUUUGUCCUCAAUUUCCUGCAACUAGUUUAUUUUUUUUCAAUUUUUUCUUCUUUUGCUCUAAGUUAAUUUGCUUCUUCUUUAACAGAUAAAGUCACUGGACAUGUUCCGGCACGACGCUAGCUGUCUGGCUCUUUUAAUGGAUGGAAGUGCAUCAUUGGGUCUUGAUUUGAGCUUUGUAACUCGUGUGUUUCUAAUGGAACCAAUCUGGGAUAGAAGGUAAUAAUAUUUUAUCUUCUUUUUAUCUUCUUUUUUAUUUGAUAAGGAAGGUAAUACUAUUUUAUCAUGAUCAAGGAUAUUUGAGAUUUUGCUUAAAUGAGUUUCUUACUUUCUUCAAUGCCUCAAUGUUAGAUUAGUUACAAGUUUUAUUUUCAUACAAAUUUAUAUUUAGGGAAUUGGAAAGAAUGUGUUAUUAUCUGCUAUUAAUAUAGUUUUGCUUCAUACAACCUACUGCGGCAGGUGCUUUUCACCAACGCAUUUGUAACUAAUUGCGUAUAGAUUUUGGAUUAUUCUUAUUGGAUUUUUGUGUCUGAACAUCUGUUUAACACCUUAAUUGAUCCUUCUUUUCUUUUAACCUAAUUGGAGUUAAAUUGUCUCAUUUGUUUGAAACCCUAUCAGCAUGGAGGAACAAGUCAUUAGUCGCGCUCAUCGGAUGGGCGCUACUCGUCCUAUUCAUGUGGAAACUUUGGCAAUGCGUGGUACAGUUGAAGAGCAAAUGCUUGAAUUCCUACAGGUAUAGUCUGAUUCUAAUAUUAUUUCUUCUGUCAAAUCAGUGAUUGUGCAUCAGGUAAUUUAAAUAUGGAGAGAACUCCUCAAUUGUAGUGAAAAUCUAGUAGCAAAUAUGCAUUUGAUAGAUUUUGGUAAAAUAGUUUCCAAAUAUGUGAGCAGAAUCUCAAUUAAGUUUUUCAUAACUGAAAUUAAGGUACAUUCCUUUAACAAUUACCCUUCCGUCUAAUUGUUGUUUGGGGGGGGGGGGGGGGGUUGAAAAANNNNNNNNNNNNNNNNNNNNNNNNNNNNNNNNNNNNNNNNNNNNNNNNNNNNNNNNNNNNNNNNNNNNNNNNNNNNNNNNNNNNNNNNNNNNNNNNNNNNNNNNNNNNNNNNNNNNNNNNNNNNNNNNNNNNNNNNNNNNNNNNNNNNNNNNNNNNNNNNNNNNNNNNNNNNNNNNNNNNNNNNNNNNNNNNNNNNNNNNNNNNNNNNNNNNNNNNNNNNNNNNNNNNNNNNNNNNNNNNNNNNNNNNNNNNNNNNNNNNNNNNNNNNNNNNNNNNNNNNNNNNNNNNNNNNNNNNNNNNNNNNNNNNNNNNNNNNNNNNNNNNNNNNNNNNNNNNNNNNNNNNNNNNNNNNNNNNNNNNNNNNNNNNNNNNNNNNNNNNNNNNNNNNNNNNNNNNNNNNNNNNNNNNNNNNNNNNNNNNNNNNNNNNNNNNNNNNNNNNNNNNNNNNNNNNNNNNNNNNNNNNNNNNNNNNNNGGAUAUUGACUUGAAUUAAGAAUACAUAGAUUGUGAAAAUGAUGUAUAUAUGAUUUUAUAAUGAAAACUGCACUUAGUUAUAUUGUUUCACAUUUAUUGCCUUGCGUCAGCAUAUAGGAGCCUGUGGAUCUAUCUUGGCCCAGUACUAACAGGUUUGGGGCAGCAUGUCUGAAUCCUGUGAACUUGAUGAGAUCCUAUAGCAGUACAAAGAUUCUCUGGCGCUUUUAUCCAGUCAUCUGUACAGUAGAGAGAAUAUAUACUUGUUCUGAGAGAGAGGGAGGGAGAGAGAGGAUGGAAAAGUUCUGCAUUAUUAUGUUUAACAAUAAUUGUCUUUCAAUAGAUCGCUCUCUUGUAAUAUACACAAACAUUUUGGUCAUUACAUUGUCUACUAAUUGACUCAGUUUAAUAAUUUGCUGCAUGCUUCUCUAGGAUACCGAUAGGUGUAGAAGAUUGUUGAAAGAAGAGCUUGUCAAACCUGAACGUGAAGGGGCUCGAUCUCAUCGUACACUACAUGACUUUGCAGAGAGCAAUUAUUUAUCUCAUCUUAGCUUUGUGCGAACAAACUCAUAGGCAAAAAGGUAUAGGGAUACACAUACCCCAUAACCCAUAAUCCGCAGUUAGUUAUUACUUCACAGAAAAGAGCAUUUUACAUUUUCCAUUGUGGAGGAAAUAAAGCUUGGAACUUGUUGGGUGAAAAAGUUAUCUGGAGUUUACCUCAUCUUCAUUCUCUGUAAGUCAAUGUUAUUAGGAUAUGAAUUUUUCUAUUCUAUAGUAGAUAUUUAUUAUAAUUUCUAUUGAUGAUUUAAAAUAUUAGAGAUGCAUGUCUGUAGGGUAAGACAUUAGGAAACUUUAAUUAUGAGCUUGGCUAUUCUUUCACCAUUGUUGAAUUGGGUGAUGACGUGUCUUAAAAGAAUCAUUACUUAUUUGUUUAUGUUUUGUCCCUAUUUGAAAUUGAAUUAGUUAUCAUUUUUGUGAUGUUCAUCAUUUGCAACCUGGGCAGGGCUUUAGAUUGUGAUGUUGGAAUUGCAUGAGAAUGAAUUCCUGUCCCACAAAAUAUGAGAUAGCUUUCAGUUGAAGUUUCAAGUUCCCAAUUCCAUGCUGCAAUCUAUAGAUGGUUUGAAUUUGGGUCUGAAGGAUAUCCAAGAUGCCCAUCAAGGUGCCUAUUCUUUUGAUUAACUGGCUUAUUAUGUCAGUUUCAAUAAGUGUUUCCGUAAAUUACGUCCCAGCGCCUGUGCACCCUCUUAGGCUUGUGCAGCUAAGUUUGCAUGUUAAAAAUGUCAUCUUUUUUCUGCAAAGGUCUACUGUUGGUUGAAUUUUCGAUCCCAACCACGGAGCACAUAGGCCUUGAAAGGCUGUACAGAGCUAGUGGCUAGACCCACGAUCCACUGUUUGCAGGGUUCCAUUCAUGUUGAGAAUGGAUAAUUAAGAUUGUGUUGAGCAGGCAAGUUUUGAAUUGAACAUCUAUUUUCCCCAGAAUCCACAAAUUGCCUGUGCGUAUUUGCAACCCUGUAGAUUUCAUUGAUAGAGAUGUUGAUUAUUUCUCAUAAUCUAUUGUUAUGAAUUUACUGAGAUUAGUACUUUUUAUCCACCAGGCCCUCGUUUUAUUUUCUGAAGAAUCAUUCAUAUCUGGCACGCAAGAUUGCAAUGGACGAUGAGUUGGGCAUGCGGAUAAGUUAUUGUGCCUUUGUAGAGCUGGUUAAAAAUUUUCUGUUUUAGCCGUGUAUAUAUAAUAUAUUUGUUGUGAUAGCAAUUGGAUGACUGCUAAUCUUUUUCCAAUUUAACAUUCUGAUUUAGCGCAUUCUUUGUAUCCUAUAGAUCAAAUUUCAAUACGAAUCAUAAUUGAACUGUUGUUUUUAUUGUUCAGUUUGUGAGUUUUAUGUUCUCUUAAAACAUAUUUCCGUUUUGGAAAUUAAUAAAUCAAAUUUGAGAGGGUAAUAGCUGAUGUAGAUAUCUUUCAUUUCUUUAUUUAUUGAUUUUCUUUUUAAUCUCGAACAGGUAAAAACAAGUUGAUCCAUUAUGAAAGUACAGAUGCUCUCACUCAUUACAAAUAGUAUGUUCAGUACUAGUAAAAAGGGGGGAAAAGAAAAAGGAAAAAAGAAAGGCAAAAAUUGUUCAAUAAAUUCCAGGCUUGGUUAGUUCAUGAUCUAAUUUGAAAGAAACAAAUGCAUCGAAGGUUAUGGGUUUUGGCACUGCAAUUAUCUCCUUCUUCAGUUCAAUAGCUAACUUGAAAGAAACAAAUGCAUCGAUUGCAGCAUAUCGAAUCUGUUGUUUACUCAGUUUGUUUACAUCCCAUUUACUCAACGUAAUACGUUUAGAUUUCUCCAUCUCAACGUGAAGGAAUUUUAGAACCAAUCUCUUUAACCCAAAUCUCUUCAACUCUUCAUCAUCAUAUUUUGCUGCAGCCAUAUCAGCAACAUCCAUUGUUCUUGCCACAUUCAGUCCAUAAUCUUGGUAUAGUUUAUUGGCGUCGUUCUCGAUUCCUUUCCCCACGAACGUAAACUUAUCAUUCUCAAGAAAAUCGACAAGAGAUUGCGGCAUUCUGUCUUUGUGGCAUAGCUGAAAUACAAGACAUCUUUGGCCUACACAAAGUUGAAUGAUUGCUACUUUCUGGUGUUUGUUUGUCUCGGUGGGCAAACACCAUUCUGUAUCAAGACCGACAACAAGUUUGUGAAGCCUCCAACGAUGAACGUUGAUCGUUCGAGCUAUCCAACGAUCAACAUCCGAAGCACAAGAAGUCACCGCUGUGACAAAGUAAUCUUCUCCGAAGUUGAUACCCCAAAUGUUAUAGCCUAAAGGCUCAAUACUAGAAGAAGAGUUGUAGGCUAAAGGUUUGAUUUCGGCUGGUUUUGGUGACAAAGUCUUCAUAGCCAUAGAAGGUGGUGAUAAAAUUACAAGAAAUGAAAUGUGUUUAUGCAAAGUGAAUGAAAGGAAAAUAAAUAAAUAAAUAAAGAUAGCAAUGUUGUGGUUCUGAAAUGCAUGAUAUUUAUGGAGUUGUAAGCCUAUUGAUGCAUAAACAAUAAUCCAGUUAUAACAUCCCACCAACAAGUAACAACAGACAGAACAAAUUUUAAUUUAUCUUUCAUUUAUCAGUGAAUCUGAUCACAGUUAACUAGCUAACUCUACACCGGUAAAAGGUUGUUUUUUUUUUUUUUUUUCGUGUUUUUGUUUUAAGGAUUUUUUUUUGGGGAUUUGUUAAAAUAAAAGAAGAAAAAUACUCUUGAAUUAGAUAAAAUCAGCGGAAAAUUAAGGUUAGAAUAUUUCAAGCAACAAUUUGUUAUAUUUGGAUGCAUUUAAAGAAGCAUUAUUAUAGAAACAAAUUAUAACUUUUAUCUCAAAAUAACUAUAUAUUGUAGUCAUUUUCAAAUAUUAUCAAAUAGAAAAAAAAAAAUCCUCCACCUUGCAUAUAUGGAUAGCAAUAAAGAUUUGAAUUAUUUAAAUACAACAGAUAAAACACAUUUUUAUUACAAAAAGAAACUUAUCAUUAUCCCUAUUAGCAAUCUCCUCAAACAUACCACCAAUGAUAAUCUCACUGGUCAAAAGGAUUUAAAAACAAGAAAACAAAACUACAAUGGAAAAUGACAUUUAACUAGAAAAUUUGACAAAUAAAUAAACAAUGGAACUACACUAUCUUAUACAUAAUGUAAGAUAUAGCAAAUCCAUGAGUUGUCACUUAUAACAACUCAAUUAUUUUACAUGCAGUAAUUUUUUAGUUUUAGGUAACAACUCGAGAGGGUUGUUGUACAUUACAUAUGAUGUAACAAUAUAGCAUGACUCUGAACUAUGAUAAAUAUUCUCGGUUUUUUCAUUCAAUAGAAAAAUAAAAUAAAUUAACACCGAUUUAUCACUAUUUCUCUUAGUACAAUAACUAUUUGACUAGUUAGAGUGAAUACAUUUCAUUCAUUGGAAUGAUAAAGAAGUCCAAUAGUUUUAGUGUUAAACUUUGGAUUUCGCUCAGUCAUUUUAUUCUAAAAUAUGAAGCAUUUUAUUAGUACUUUAUUUUUUUACUAAUUUUAAUUUUCAUUGACAAGAAUCAGGUAAGCCAAACCAUGAAUCGAUGUAAUCGAAGUACUGUGCUUGAUAUCUUCAUUGCAGAAGUUCUAAACUUCAAUUCUGAUUUUUGGGGUAAGCCCGCCAAUAUUUGGUCACUUUGUCCUUUUUUUUUUCAUUUUUUUCCCCAAUUUAUCAGCGGAGAGCUAAUAUUUCUGCUUGAUUAUUGUGUAACUUUGACAUUGCAGCGGACCAAGUUCACGAGUAUUCUGGAAAAGUUGGGUGAGUAACUUAAUUUGUAACUUUUGUUGUUGUACUUAAUAGUGAAUUGUAUUUCAUUCAUUCUAAAUAUGACAAAUUCUUCAACAUACUUUAUGUCAUUUAAUAUUUCCUGCUUAAUUUCUUUCGUGAAAGUUAUCUUCAGAAUCGAUGCAAUUAAAUUUAUCAUUUUUUGCAAAUAAUUUGAACCAUGUCAGGGUGACUUUUGUGUUUUUGUUAGCUUUAUACUUCUGUAAUAAUUAAUGGUUCCUUUAAUGUAAUUCAACCAUGUUAAUAAUUUUUUCUCAUACACACCAUGGGGUUGCUGAAGGUAAAAGCGGUAGAAUUAUAUGGAGUUGUUUAAUUUCUUCCUAUUGAGUUAUUUCAGGUGUUAGAAUCCUUUUUCCUUGAUGUCACGAGGCUCGAAAUGUAAAAGUAAAUGGAGAACAUGAAAUAACAUGGCUUGAUGGAAAGAAAGGAGGACAACAGCUGUUGAUAGGAAAACAAAUUUUUAGAUGAUACAAGGAAACAAUAUUAUUAUUAUUAUUAGGAAAAUACUGUCUAAGCAACCUAAGAGGGGGUGAAUUGGGUUUCUAAAAAUUUAUGCAAUGUUUGAACAAAAUUUAAUGCAAAUCUUGAACGAAUUUAAAAUAACAAUAAAUAAAUCAACCAAAAUUUAAAAAGAUAAGGGAAGAGAGAUUCAAACAUAGAGAUUUUUAUGGGGUUCGGUAAACCUUUCCUACGUCCACGCCUCCAAGCUCACCGAACUUGAGGAUUCCACUAGUCAAGCCUCCAAGGUUUUAAGAACACUUACAAUUGACUUCGCAGGUGUUAAUCAACCUUUACACCAAGAGAUAUCCCCAAUCUCUUAACCCAAUUGUAUCCCAACACUUACAAUCACUCAAAAUAAAGAUUACAAAUGUGUUUUUCUCUCACACAAAAUAUAUGAUUACAAAUCAAUGCUCAAUGUGUGAAUAAAUGAAAUAAGAACGAAUUUAAAGCUCAAUGAAUGUUGUAUUCUCAAUUACAAGCUCAAUGAUAGCGUUUUGAUCAACCCUUAUUUGAAUUUGAUUGACUUUAUUUAUAGUUGGAGCUGAAAAUAGCCGUUAUUGACUUUCUGCCAGAUAUCGGAUCGCCGUUAACUGUUAUCGGUUAACCGUUCUGACUGGUCCAAGGCACCGCUCCUUUAUGAUGAAGAAAGUGAUAAAACUCCAGAAAAUGAUAGCUCUAGGUAAGAUUGUUAAACGAUUUUCAUUAUAUUGAGUUUUACAUUCAUAAGAUUGUUAAACGAUUUUCAUUUUACCAAGUUUUACUUUCGUAUGAUUGUUAAACGAUUUUCAUUUUAUCGAGUUUUACAUUAUGUUAUUUGUGUUUUUAAUCCAUUUUUCUUACUCUUCUUUCUAUUGUUAAACGAUUUUCAUUUUAUCAAGUUUUACACUAUGUUAUUUAUGUUUUGGGUCCUUCUAUCUUACAUGCAUGUAAAAUACAUUCCUCUCACAUGAAUAGUGUGUGGGUCCCACACAUGCACUAUUCAUGUGAGGGGGAUGUAUCUUACAUGCAUGUAAGAUAGGGUUUGCCUUAUGUUUUUAAUUCGUUGUUCUUACUCUUCUUUCUACAACGACAACGAACAAUUUGUGCCAGUGGUAGCACCACAAAUGAUAACACACAAUAAGUGAGUUAGAACCAGUGCUUAUUUUAUUAAAUAAAUCCUAACUAAUGUGCAUAAAUGAGCUCAUGUUAAUUGUUAACCACCAAGUUGUUUCUGUUAUCAACUUGGGCUAGAUUUUUUAUUGAAAAUACUUUAACUUAUAUCAAUUAGCUGGAGAGUUUAGUAGCGUUUUCAGCAUCUAGCUUUACUAAAGUUGUAGUCCACGUUAUGCAACUUCUUUUCUUGUCAUAGAUACAUUUUCUUGAAUUGCUCAAGUCCUUUUGCACGUCUUUGGAUGGAAUUUAAUUUUUGAGCCUUUAAUGUAACUUGUCAAAGCCUUCAGUAUUGUGUCCGCAAGAGUUUGUCUCCUGAGUUACAAUUUAGCUAAAUUAGUUCUAGCCUUAGAUUUUGUAAAUGAAUAUUAGUUGAACUUGAUAUGUUAAUGUAAUUCAAUAAUGUUAAUAUAUAUUCUCAUACACAUUGUAUAUAUUGAUUUUAUUUCAAAUGGUAGUAUCGUUUUCUUCUUGGGAUAUUUUCUCAAGGUGUCUGGCUCAUUCCCAAAAUGUUGACAUUAAUGGCGAACAUAAAGUAAGAUGACUUGAUGGAAAUUAAAUCAUGUUAAUAAUUUAUUCUCAUAGACGCUAUGAGUUGCUCAAGGUAAACUGAUUGAAUCAUCUAUGGUUGUUUAAUCUCACACAUUGCAUCAAAGCAUGUUAUAGUGGUCAUGGUGGUGCACCACAAUGACCACUAUGGUUGUGCACAGCCACAAGCAUUAUGGUUUUAGUACCUAACCCAUCACCUGAUGCAACUAGUUGAUAAAUUGUGUUCAUCAAUUUUAGGUCGACAAUAAAAGAAUGGUACUAUUGAAAAUGCAAAUUUUACAAAAAAUUCUCUUAUUAUAUAUAUGUUUGUUAAUUACAGGUUUUGUACUUUGUAUGUACACCAAAAUUUUAAAAUAAUAAUAAUAAUAAUAAUAAAUGAGGAAAUAUUCUUGAACUUCGAAUAAAAACAAGAAAGCUUAACUUAAGAAUUGUAAACUAAAACUGAACUAAAUCCAAUAUUAUUCAAAUAGUAUCUUCUUCGCCAUCUUUUUAUAUUUUACCAUACAAUUAAUUAUGUUUCAUUUAUAAACACGACGUGACAAUGACCACCCAUCAAUAUUUCUCAACCUUUUUGUCAAGUCAUUUUAAUUUUCAUUUCUUCUUUAUUUGAUUUUGGCAUCUUAAAAAAUAAUUAAAAAUAAUUGGUGGAAUGAUUUUGACCUUUAUUUUAUUUAUUUCUUAAUAGAAGUUAAAAUAAUGAACAAAUUUUAAGAUAUUGAGUUCCAAAACCUGCAACUUUAAGGACUUCAACAACUUAUCGUGAACAAAUUUUAAGAUAUUUCGCUAACUCCUAAUUUGCGCCAAUGGUGGCACCACAAAUGAUAACACACAAUAAGUGAGUUAAUUAUUGUUUUUAUUGUUUUUUGAAGUCACUCUUUAAAAUACCUCAGUAUUCUCAUGAACACUGAUGCAUCAUAGGUGAGUUAAUGACUGUUUUUAGUUUUUUUUUUAAAUCACUUUUUCAAAUAAUAAGCUCUUGAAGUAUUCUCAUGAACACUGAUGCACCAUGGGUGAGUUAUUGAUUGUUUUUGGUGUUUUUGAAAUCACUUUUUCAAAUACUAAGCUCUUGAAAUAUUCUCACGAUCAUUAACGCGUCAUAAUUAUUGUUAAAUGACAUGGAGAUUGUACGCUACAGGUGAGUCAAUCUUUUAUUUUUAUGUGUUUUGAAAUUAAUUUUAGAUACUUCUGAUAAUGUUGUUUUGUUAUUGAUAAUUUUGUUUUCUGUACACUUCAUACAUGAAUAGUGUUCUUAUUUUCUUGUUAUCAUUAUAUUGCUCCUCAUUUUAUUUAGUCUCACGAAACACACUACUUGUUUUUUUUCUGAUUCCAAAUUACUUUUUACUCGUUUGUUUAAUGAGCUAUCUGUAGUUUACACGUUUUUGGUUUCUUUGCUCGGAUUAUUCCUCUAUUUUCAAAAAGAAAUUAGUAUUGCUUUUCUUUUAAUGAGGUAUAACAUUUUCCAGGGGGAUUGUUCUAGAAAGUGGAGAAUUGAGCGGGACUAAGUCUAACAGCGGAAAAAACAAAGCUAAUCCUCUUACCGCUAAUCCAUUAGGCUAGAUUGAGGAAGGAUGAGCUCAGUGCUAUUUUCAUUCGGUUAAACGCGAAGGAGUUUUCUUUCUAUGGGCUGCGUGUUACGAUUUCUUAACGGAUCGACCACUGAUUUUACAAGCUUCCUUUUCCAAAUCGGACCUCGAGGUUUUGAAAUGGGCCUUGUUAUUGGGCCAGCUUUUGUUCCAAUAACAAACCGACACGAUUUUUUUGAAAUAUUUUAAUCGUUAACUGUUGGCUUGAACUAUAUAAUUUCGGUACUGAUUUUAUAUUUAUUUCUAUUUUUACUAACAGGCAGCAUUAAAGGAUGUUAUUGAUGAAUUACUAAGGAAGCCUUUGAGAGCAACUUUUAUUCUCCGCAAGGUUGACCAAACCUUUCAUCUGCAAAACACUCUCGUCGUGGUAUGAGAAUUAUCAUGACACUUUUAGACUUAAAUCAUGAUUAUUUAGAAAGUAAAUGACAUGUUUGUAUUGCAUUUUAAUUUUAUUUUGCAUGAAUAUCCAUUUUAGUUUAUUUUUAAUAAAUUGCCUUGUUUUAGAAUAAUUUGUGUGUUUAGAUUGUAUGCAUAAUUGUAGGUGACCGAAAGCUCAAAUUUCAAAGAAUGAAUGUUGCUACAAUAGACUUGCAAAAGAUGAAAAAGAACUUGACUAUAGAAGAAUUGAAACAAGUCUAAAAUAGUGCAUAUGUUGUAGCUCUUGCUAUAGCAUCCGUUGCUGUAUUAUUCGUUGCUGUAGCAAUCCUGAAACAACGACAAAGAUGAUUUCGCUUGAGAUAUUUAGAUGAUUGCGAUCUAGAGUUUCAUAAUCUGGAAGAUAUGCGCCCUAAACUUCUGUUUACCCUAAUUUUCAUCUAUAAAAGAAGUACACACACAAAAGAAAAGGAGAGUCAUUAUCCAAGAAGAAAAACCACAAAGAAACAAAAGAAAAACAUAAUUCAAGAUAGAUUUUGAAGGCUGCACCAGAGGAGAAAACGCAGAGAUCCAUUGAAAAUUAGUCCUUCUUGUUCUUUCUUGUUUUCUAUUUAUUCAUGGGGAUAUAUUUGAUGGUUACAACUCUUUUCUUUAUUUUUCUUUUGCAAACCAUGAACUAAAAUUAUUUAUGGUUGAGUGAUAAACAAUCUUGAUGGUUUAUUUACUAAAUAUAUGUGUUGCUGCAUGUUUGCUAUAACAUUUUAUUUUGAUAGUAUUUAUUUCUAUUUAUUAUUUCAGCUGAUCACCCAUUUAAUGAUACUAGCUAAGAAAGAGCCACAAAAGACCUUAUCUUAGUGGAACAUAUCAGAGCAAUACUUGGUUUUAGAUUGAAUUUCCUGAGUUGAGUUUACUUGAUUCUAAAAAGGCCUUGCUUAAUCUAAAAUUAGGGAUGAACUAAACAUAGUGAUUCACCUUGUAGAGUAAUUAGAACCUAAGCGUAUAAUGCUAUAUCUUAUAUUGGCGUAACAACUUAUCACUGUUAGGUUGCAUAUAUGUAUAAGAUAUCCAACAUCAUAAUGAUUAUGCGUAGUGUUAUAGCAGAUGCAAUAGCAACCAAGCCAAACAUUAGAAAAAUAGUCAAAACCAUUAAGUGAAUUUCAUCACUCAACUAUUCUAUAUUCUCAUUGGUUUUAUCCUUGAAUUUAACGUGAUAAUUUACUUUGUUGUAUUUCAUUUAGUGCAUUUUUAUUUUAAUUAGUAUAUUAGUUUCAUUAAUUUUUUUAUUUUAACUUAACAAAAUCUACACUGUUAAUAUUGUUGUAACAAGUCUGAUAACAUCAAUCCAUGUGGAAAAGAUCUUAAAUAUUCAUCAUUAUAUUACUUGUUGUGUACACUUUCACAUUAACACCCAUAACAUUAAAAAGUUACAACAAGUUUUUAGCGCCGUUACUAGGGAUUGAUUGUUUAUUAUAAUUUGUGAAAUUAGUUUUAACGGUGCUAAUUUUUAAUUCUAUUUUAAUUUGUUUACUUUGUUGGCAUAGGUGAUCUAGCAGUCAUAGCAUGCGCAAAUAUAAAUCUGUUUAAUUCCAAUUUGACACAAAAAUUUAAAGAAUUGUAAGGAGAUUGAGAAGAGAGCAUUGGAAAUUACAAGCUGUUGUAGCAAUGGAUAAUUUGCAAGAUAUGAGAAACUUGAAUCCCCGAGGAGAACUACAACCAGUCAAUGUACAUGAACGUCUGAAUGGACAAAAUGUUCAAUGAAAACCAGGGAAUAACAACGUUAUUCACAUGGUGAACAAUAGAGAUAGAGCCAUUCGAGACUAUGCAUUGUUGACUCCUCAUGUGCAUACAUCCUAGAAUAGUUAAACCCGAUGUUCAAGCUGACAAUUUUGAGCUUAAACCCAUCAUGUUUCAGACAUUGCAGACAGUGGGGCAAUUAAGUAAGUGAUGCCUUUAAAAUUGUUGGAGCAACGAAUGAAGCAUUGAGACUCAGACUUUUCAUGUUUUCUUUGAGAGAUCAAGCAAGCGUAUGGUUGAAUUCUUUAUCACCUGAUUCCAUCACUACAUAGAAUGACUUGGCUGAUAAAUUUUGGAUGAAAUACUUCCCACCGACCAAGAAUGCAAAAUUGAGGAAUGAGAUCACAUCUUUCCAUCAACUUGAAGAUGAGAGUUUGUAUGAUGCAUAAGAAAGAUUUAAGGAGUUACUUAGGAGAUGUCUUCAUCAUGGUAUUUUGUGCUGUAUACAAUUGGAAACUUUCUAUAAUGGUCUCAACCCAAACACUAGAUUGAUGGUGGACACUUCAGCAAAUUGGGCCUUGUUGUCUAAAUCUUAUAAUGAAGCUUAUGAAAUUUUUGAGAGGAUAGCUAAUAAUAAUUAUCAGUGGCCAUUAACUAGACAAGUUGCAACAAGAGGAGCAGCAGGAGUUCAUAAUGUAGAUGCCUUGAUAGAAUUAUCAGCCCAAGUAACUUUAACAAUUUUGAUGAAGGUGCUAUGACUACUGCUCCAGUAACUAUUAACCAAAAUUCUAAUGUGUCUUGUGUUUAUUGUGGAGAAAAGCAUUUAUUUGACAAUUUUCCUAGAAAUCCAGCUUUAGUCAAUUAUGUGGGCAGCUUUAAUAGACAAAAUCAGAACAAUCCAUAUUCAAACACUUACAACCCUAGAUGGAGACAACACCCUAACUUUUCAUGGAGUAAUCAGAAUCAGCCUGCUGCAACAUCCAAUGGAUAGAACAGACCUGCUUAGCACCUGAAUUCUAUCAGCAAAAUCAAGGGCAAAGAAGCAUCAACAAUGAUCAACUCAGCUCCCUUGAAACUUUGAUUAAGUAUUAUAUUGUGAAGAAUGAAGCAGUUGUCCAAAGGCAUGCUAUAUCUUUGAGAAAUCUGGAAAAUCAACUUGGAUAGCCUGCUACAGCAUUAAGCAACAUACCUUAGGGUAGUAUGCCCAGCAACACAGAGGAUCCAAAAAGAGAAGGGAAAGACUACUGCAAAGUGAUUUACUGGAGAUCUGGAAAGGAUGUUUAUAGUCCAGUUAGUGUACCAAAAAGAAGAGUUGAAUUCACUUCAAUCCAAAGAGAAACCCAAAUUGAAGAAGAGCCACAAUCCUCUACUUCACAACACACUGGUAAGAACAGCCAAGUUACAACAUUUACAGAAAAUGAUGAUCCAACACUUAUAGAUAACGAUGCUGCAUCACCAACCCAAAACAUGGUAAAAGAGAAGUAAUCUGCACAACCUGAUGCAGCACCGCAGUUUGAAAUGGGUCUUGUUAUUGGGCCGGCCUUCGCUUCAAAACAAACCGACACAAUUUUUCUUCUUUAAGAUUUUAAUCGUCAACCGCUGGCUUGAACUAUAUAAUUUUGCUUCUGAUUUUAUUUUUAUUUUUAUUUUUAAUAACAGGCAGCAUUAAAGGAUGUUAUUGAUGAAUUACUAAGGAAGCCUUUGAAAGCAGAUUUUAUUCUCUACUAGGUUGACAAAACCUUUAAUCUGUAAGACACUCUCGUUGUGGUAUGGACAAUUGAUUGUGAAUAAAUUUUUGUCUAUCCCUUUUUAGUUUUUUAAUUUUAGUUAUUAAUGUGGCAGUUCAAGGAGAUUUUUGGAUCAAGGGCAAAUGUUAUUGUCACUUUGUUAGCUGGUAUGAUGGGAACUAGAGAAGCUUUAGAUGUGUACCAAGAGGUUUGAUCUUUUUUUUUUUUAACUUUUUUUUUCAAUUUUUUUUCUUUUUUCGAUUCUGCAGGGUCAAUAGUUUUCUAUGUAAUUACAGGUGAAAUUUACAAAUACUCAGCAUAAUGAUUCUCACAUUGGGUUGUGCAUCUUUUUUCUGCCGGGAGUAAAGGUAAACACGUUUCCAGUAAAGAGGGUUUCAGUGCGGAAGGUAAUAAAUUUCCUUCUAGUCUAGUAUCUUUAUUGCAUCCUUGUUUUAUUUUAGCCAAUCAUAUGCUUUUGAGUUUCUCUAUUUACCAUCCAGAGCAUGUAACAUGUUUCGGACACUCUACGUAUAACGAAUCUUAAGGUUUAGUCUAAGAGUAAAGUAUGGAUUAAGUGAGUUGACCAACAAACCAACAAUGUAAUAAGUAUAUAAUAAAGUAUUGAACUAGUUUGCAUUCAUUUGUAUUACUGUGAUUUUGUAUGAAAGGUUAGGUUUAUUAGAAGUUGUAGAAGUGUGAGUUGGUUGUGGUCAAAUUUCCUAGAAACAGGCCUCCAGGGAUUAGGAUUAGGGCCAAGACAGUACCUGGAAAAUAUCUCCUUAAGAUCAUUAGUUUAGUUGACUUCUUAGCCAAAGGGAGGUGAUAAUAUAGAAUAUUCUCUACAAAGUAGAUAUCAUCAACAAGUUGAGAAUCAAAGUAACUACAUCAGCAUUUAGAGACUGCAAUUAAAGCUAAUGCUUAUUUUAUUAAGCUAGAUCCUAGCUCUUUUAUCAAAAAGACUUAUGUCCAUUAACUGAAGUCUUCAGCUCCGUUUUCAGCAGCUAGCUUUACUGAAGUUGUAGUCCAAGUAAUGUAACUUCUUUUCUUGUCAUAGAUUCUUUUUCUUGCAUUGCUUGAGUCCUUUUUCACGUGCUUGGAUGGAAAUUUUUGAGCCUUAAAUGUAACUUGUCAAGAGCCUUCAAUGUUGUUUCGGCAAAAGUUUGUCUCUUGAGUUACAAUUUAGCUAAAUUAAUUCUAGCCUCUGAUUUUAUGAAUGAAUGUUGGUUGAACUUGAUAUGUUGUAAUUCCCUCAGUAUUUUUGUUGAACUCUUUGUAUGCAGAAUAACAAGAAAACUCUUUUAGUAUACUUAAGCAAAAGCAUAAUCCAGGAAAAUUACAUCUUGGUCAAACAUGUCAAAUUUAAUAAUAUGAAUUUUGCUUAUGCAAUUCUGUACUUGGCUAAAUUAUAUAUAUUCUGACACUUUGUUUUAUAAUGUAAAACUUCGGGCUUUGUUUAGUCACUUUAUACAAAAAUAUGAAGCAUUUUAUCAUCACCCGAUUCUUUUAACUAACUUUGAUUUUCAUUGACAUGAAUUAGGCGAAUGAAGACAUGAAUCAGGCUAACGAAGACAUGAAUCAGCGAAGUAUUGUGCUUGAUAACUUCUUGGCAGAAGUUCAAGGCUUCUCUCCAUCGCCACUACUUAUUCUGAUAUUUGGGGUAAGCUCAUUAAUGUUUUCUGCUGUACGGCCAAGGCGGAUGUACGGUACAGCAGAGACUCGCUCUUUGUGAACCGUUAGAUUCCGUCCGACUGUAUUUGUCCAGAGCAACUUUAAUUGUUGUUCCGUCGUAUUUAGUUGAUCAUUGGAAAACCCAAAUCCAACAGCAUGUCAGACCUGGACAGUUGCAUCUUUUUGUCUGGACCGAUCAUAAAAAGCCUUCUGCUCAUAGUCUGGCUUGGGACUAUGAUGUUGUUAUAACUACAUUUAACCGUUUAAGUGCAGAGUGGGGUCGGCGAAAGAAAAGUCCAAUGAUGCAAGUUCAUUGGCUUAGGGUUAUGUUAGAUGAAGGGCAUACCCUUGGUUCAAGUCUUAACUUGACAAACAAAUUGCAAAUGGCUAUUUCAUUGACAGCUUCAAAUCGUUGGUUAUUAACAGGAACCCCGACUCCAAACACACCUAAUAGCCAGUUGUCACAUCUUCAACCAAUGCUUAAGUUCCUCCAUGAAGAAGCAUAUGGCCAGAAUCAAAAGGCAUGGGAUGGUGGCAUUCUUAGACCAUUUGAGGCAGAGAUGGAGGAGGGUCGAUCCCGUCUGUUGCAGCUACUCCAUAGGUGCAUGAUCAGUGCAAGAAAGACAGAUUUGCAAACCAUUCCUCUUUGCAUCAAGGAGGUGACAUUUUUAAAUUUCACUGAGGAGCAUGCAGGAACUUACAAUGAAUUGGUAGUUACAGUGCGGCGUAAUAUACUAAUGGCUGAUUGGAACGAUCCUUCACAUGUUGAAAGUUUACUGAAUCCAAAGCAGUGGAAGUUCCGAAGUACAACUAUUAGGAAUCUAAGGCUAUCCUGCUGU